Molecule: unclassified non-coding RNA, 472 nt
Filed under: rhizosphere metagenome
Description: partial ribosomal RNA internal transcribed spacer region
Source: RNAcentral
GUAGGUGAACCUGCGGAAGGAUCAUUAACACGUAUCCAACGUUAAAAAUCCGCUAACGAUACCCAUGGUUGCAAUCCCUGGUAAAUCAUUGCCGAACAGUUUUGAUUCAGGGACAUCAAGCACGUUAGUGUCCUGAUAAAAGAGGCGCUGCAACAGACGGGUUCCACGACCCCAAGGAGUCAAAAGCUGUCAGCGAGUGGCAAGUGAGGGAGUCAGUGUUCAACCUGAUUGUCAUCUUGUAAGUUGAGAGUGUCUUUUGAUUUUGAACGGGUAGACCACCCCAGGUGGGUCACUGUGGCCGACACGGCCGUGAUGGGAUUCUGGCGUCGUGCCUAUAGGUACGAACUAGCGCCCGACAUGACCUCUUGAAACGACAGGGGCGUAACCGGACCAAAUUUUUAAUCUGCCCCUUACCCUAACAGGUACUCGGGUGUCAAACGAACAACUGUUAACAAUGGAUAUCUUGGUUCUC